This 24-nucleotide microRNA is filed under the name Gossypium raimondii (Peruvian cotton). RNAcentral describes it as "gra-miR8743a". Lineage: Eukaryota; Viridiplantae; Streptophyta; Magnoliopsida; Malvales; Malvaceae. The record is from miRBase by way of RNAcentral.
UAUGAAAAGUUAUAAAAUGGUCAU